CAGUCGCCGCGGUAAUACGAAGGGUGCAAGCGUUACUCGGAAUUACUGGGCGUAAAGCGUGCGUAGGUGGUGGUUUAAGUCCGUUGUGAAAGCCCUGGGCUCAACCUGGGAAUUGCAGUGGAUACUGGGUCACUAGAGUGUGGUAGAGGAUAGUGGAAUUUCCGGUGUAGCAGUGAAAUGCGUAGAGAUCGGAAGGAACAUCUGUGGCGGAGGCGACUAUCUGGGCCAACACUGACACUGAGGCACGAAAGCGUGGGGAGCAAACCGGAUUAGAUACCCCUGUAGUCCCUGUCUCUUAUAC
This 301-nucleotide ribosomal RNA is filed under the name uncultured bacterium. RNAcentral describes it as "partial 16S ribosomal RNA". It matches the Rfam family "Bacterial small subunit ribosomal RNA", at positions 509 to 807 of the family's 1533-position model. The record is from RNAcentral.